GACGAACGCUGGCGGCGUGCCUAAUACAUGCAAGUAGAACGCUGAAGGAGGAGCUUGCUUCUCUGGAUGAGUUGCGAACGGGUGAGUAACGCGUAGGUAACCUGCCUGGUAGCGGGGGAUAACUAUUGGAAACGAUAGCUAAUACCGCAUAAUAGUAGAUGUUGCAUGACAUUUGCUUAAAAGGUGCAAUUGCAUCACUACCAGAUGGACCUGCGUUGUAUUAGCUAGUUGGUGGGGUAACGGCUCACCAAGGCGACGAUACAUAGCCGACCUGAGAGGGGGAUCGGCCACACUGGGACUGAGACACGGCCCAGACUCCUACGGGAGGCAGCAGUAGGGAAUCUUCGGCAAUGGACGGAAGUCUGACCGAGCAACGCCGCGUGAGUGAAGAAGGUUUUCGGAUCGUAAAGCUCUGUUGUAAGAGAAGAACGAGUGUGAGAGUGGAAAGUUCACACUGUGACGGUAUCUUACCAGAAAGGGACGGCUAACUACGU
This 494-nucleotide ribosomal RNA is filed under the name uncultured bacterium. RNAcentral's name for it is "partial 16S ribosomal RNA". It matches the Rfam family "Bacterial small subunit ribosomal RNA", at positions 28 to 506 of the family's 1533-position model. The record is from RNAcentral.